This 30-nucleotide non-coding RNA is filed under the name Mus musculus (house mouse). The record is from RNAcentral. Lineage: Eukaryota; Metazoa; Chordata; Mammalia; Rodentia; Muridae.
UAACCAUCAGGUUAAACUACAGAAAUGGUA